UACGGGGGGGGCAAGCGUUGUUCGGAAUUACUGGGCGUAAAGGGUUCGUAGGUGGCCUGCUAAGUCAGACGUGAAAUCCCUCGGCUUAACCGGGGAACUGCGUCUGAGACUGGCGGGCUUGAGUACAGGAGAGGAACGCGGAAUUCCAGGUGUAGCGGUGAAAUGCGUAGAUAUCUGGAGGAACACCGGUGGCGAAGGCGGCGUUCUGGACUGUUACUGACACUGAGGAACGAAAGCGUGGGGAGCGAACAGG
RNAcentral lists this ribosomal RNA (253 nucleotides) under uncultured bacterium. RNAcentral's name for it is "partial 16S ribosomal RNA". It matches the Rfam family "Bacterial small subunit ribosomal RNA", at positions 524 to 776 of the family's 1533-position model. The record is from RNAcentral.